This 1051-nucleotide long non-coding RNA is filed under the name Coffea arabica (coffee). RNAcentral describes it as "long non-coding RNA (CARA_LNC007588)". Lineage: Eukaryota; Viridiplantae; Streptophyta; Magnoliopsida; Gentianales; Rubiaceae. The record is from RNAcentral.
AAAUAAAUAAGCUAGUAAAUCUUAACCCAAUUUUAAAUUCAUUAAAAUGAACAAAACAAGUUUCAACGUCAAACCAUUGGUAGAUAAGCAAUUGUAUGCUGUCCGUUCAUCAUCCUCUUCCUCCAUCUCAUCUCCUUAAACCAUUUCCAUUAGUAACGAGCCUUACUUCCCCGGUCCCCUAAUCUUCAUCUCAAAUUUCUUUGCUAAUUAAAAGGCCAUUUGGUUCGAUGAUAUAUUCUAUUGGUUCUACAUUAGUCCGUUACCAGGUUUCAUGAAUCAACCAACAGAUUGAGAGGAUGAAAAUUAUUACUGCAUAUGUAUAUAUAUUUCCAUUAAUUAAUCAAGCAACAAAUUAAGGAUAAAAAUUAUACAUAGCAUAUAUGAAAUCAAAAACUGACCAGUCGUCCAAUCAAUGUGAUCCACGUAUGUAAUAACGAGUAGACUGAAAUCCAUGAUCUCCGAUCAGACCACAACAUGAUGAUCUCCUUCAUUUCUAUAUUACAGACAGACUGACUCCAGACGUUAAAUCGAUACUAGAAUUAGUUACUGGCUAUAGAUACAUUGAAAUUGGUUUAUCCGUUCAGGCAUAUCAGAGUAGAUGCAGAUAUGAAACUUGAGCAAUGGCAGAUAACGCCAGAUAGGGCCAUGCAACAAGAGCGAGAGUGGAUGAGCAGCCGCUGUCACCACCAGCCGCUGGUCCAGGUGCACCACCACCCGUGCUUCCCCCACCACUGCCUCCUCCUCCUCCCCUACCUCCUCCUCCUCCUCCUCCUUCGCCUCCUUCCCCACCUCCUCCUCCUCCUCCUUCGCCACCGCCUCCACCUCCUCCUCCUCCUUCGCCACCGCCUCCACCGCCACCUGGUGCCCCUACUGAUGAUAGGAGGAGGCAAAUGAGGGUAAGGACCAGUAUCAUUUUGACUAGCCGCUCCAUUUUUUCUUCAGAGAAAGAGGGAUUUGAUCAACCCCACUUGAUUCUUUGUUCUAUUUAUGGUACACCAGAGUGAAUUUACCUCAUUACUAAAAAAAAAUAAUAAUAAUAAUAAAAUUGCAC